CCUACGGGGGGCAGCAGUGGGGAAUAUUGGGCAAUGGACGAAACUCUGACCCAGCAACGCCGCGUGAAUGAUGAAGGUCUUCGGAUUGUAAAGUUCAUUUCUAAGGGAAGAAGAAAGUGACGGUACCUUAGGAAUAAGCCUCGGCUAACUACGUGCCAGCAGCCGCGGUAAUACGUAGGAGGCGAGCGUUAUCCGGAAUGACUGGGCGUAAAGGGGGCGUAGGUGGUUUGGCAAGUUAGUAGCGUAACUCCAAGGCUCAACCUUGGAACUACUACUAAAACUGUUGGACUUGAGUGCAGGAGGGGCAACCGGAAUUCCUGGUGUAGCGGUGGAAUGCGUAGAGAUUAGGAGGAACACCAGUGGCGAAGGCGGGUUGCUAGACUGUAACUGACACUGAGGCACGAAAGCGUGGGGAGCAAACAGGAUUAGAUACCCUUGUAGUC
This 443-nucleotide ribosomal RNA is filed under the name uncultured bacterium. Its description in RNAcentral is "partial 16S ribosomal RNA". It matches the Rfam family "Bacterial small subunit ribosomal RNA", at positions 338 to 795 of the family's 1533-position model. The record is from RNAcentral.